RNAcentral lists this non-coding RNA (95 nucleotides) under Acidothermus cellulolyticus. RNAcentral's name for it is "Glycine sequence". It matches the Rfam family "Glycine riboswitch aptamer". From Rfam's summary of the family: This family represents the bacterial glycine riboswitch. Glycine riboswitches usually consist of two metabolite-binding aptamers domains with similar structures in tandem. The aptamers cooperatively bind glycine to regulate the expression of downstream genes. The record is from RNAcentral. RNAcentral also lists the same sequence under 1 other name. Lineage: Bacteria; Bacillati; Actinomycetota; Actinomycetes; Acidothermales; Acidothermaceae.
AGACCCCACGCGGGAGAGGCCCUUCGCAGCCGGCGGGGGGCGCCGAAGGAGCAACCAUCCGGGAAUCUCUCAGGCGAAAAGACCGCGUGGGCGAG